This 999-nucleotide ribosomal RNA is filed under the name uncultured organism. RNAcentral describes it as "bacterial SSU rRNA". It matches the Rfam family "Bacterial small subunit ribosomal RNA", at positions 356 to 1376 of the family's 1533-position model. The record is from RNAcentral.
GGGGGAUAUUGCGCAAUGGGGGCAACCCUGACGCAGCAACGCCGCGUGAAGGAUGAAGGUUUUCGGAUUGUAAACUUCUUUUAUUAAGGACGAAAAAUGACGGUACUUAAUGAAUAAGCUCCGGCUAACUACGUGCCAGCAGCCGCGGUAAUACGUAGGGAGCAAGCGUUGUCCGGAUUUACUGGGUGUAAAGGGUGCGUAGGCGGCUUUGCAAGUCAGAUGUGAAAUCUAUGGGCUCAACCCAUAAACUGCAUUUGAAACUGUAGAGCUUGAGUGAAGUAGAGGCAGGCGGAAUUCCCCGUGUAGCGGUGAAAUGCGUAGAGAUGGGGAGGAACACCAGUGGCGAAGGCGGCCUGCUGGGCUUUAACUGACGCUGAGGCACGAAAGCGUGGGUAGCAAACAGGAUUAGAUACCCUGGUAGUCCACGCCGUAAACGAUGGAUACUAGGCGUGGGAGGUAUUGACCCCUUCCGUGCCGCAGUUAACACAAUAAGUAUCCCACCUGGGGAGUACGGCCGCAAGGUUGAAACUCAAAGGAAUUGACGGGGGCCCGCACAAGCAGUGGAGUAUGUGGUUUAAUUCGAAGCAACGCGAAGAACCUUACCAGGUCUUGACAUCCCGAUGACCGCCUUAGAGAUAAGGCUUUUCUUCGGAACAUCGGUGACAGGUGGUGCAUGGUUGUCGUCAGCUCGUGUCGUGAGAUGUUGGGUUAAGUCCCGCAACGAGCGCAACCCUUACGGUUAGUUGAUACGCAAGAUCACUCUAGCCGGACUGCCGUUGACAAAACGGAGGAAGGUGGGGACGACGUCAAAUCAUCAUGCCCCUUAUGACCUGGGCUACACACGUACUACAAUGGCAGUCAUACAGAGGGAAGCAAAACCGCGAGGUGGAGCAAAUCCCUAAAAGCUGUCCCAGUUCAGAUUGCAGGCUGCAACCCGCCUGCAUGAAGUCGGAAUUGCUAGUAAUCGCGGAUCAGCAUGCCGCGGUGAAUACGUUCCCG